AAUCAACGCUGGCGGCGUGCCUCAGACAUGCAAGUCGAACGAUUAAAGCUCUCUUCGGAGAGUGUAUAGAGUGGCGCACGGGUGAGUAACACGUAAGUAAUCUACCCUCGAGUGGGGAAUAACAACCGGAAACGGUUGCUAAUACCGCAUAAUGCAGCGGCACCGCAAGGUGACAGUUGUUAAAGAUUUAUCGCUUGAGGAGGAGCUUGCGGCAGAUUAGCUAGUUGGUAGGGUAACGGCUUACCAAGGUUACGAUCUGUAACCGGUCUAAGAGGACGGUCGGUCACACUGACACUGAAUAACGGGUCAGACUCCUACGGGAGGCAGCAGUCGGGAAUUUUGGGCAAUGGGCGAAAGCCUGACCCAGCAACGCCGCGUGAAGGAUGAAGUAUUUCGGUAUGUAAACUUCGAAAGAAUAGGAAGAAUUAAUGACGGUACUAUUUAUAAGGUCCGGCUAACUACGUG
Molecule: ribosomal RNA, 465 nt
Filed under: uncultured bacterium
Lineage: Bacteria
Description: bacterial SSU rRNA
Rfam family: Bacterial small subunit ribosomal RNA
Source: RNAcentral